CAGUAGCCACGGUAAAACGAAGGGUGCAAGCGUUACUCGGAAUUACUGGGCGUAAAGCGUGCGUAGGCGGUGAGUUAAGUCUGCUGUGAAAUCCCCGGGCUCAACCUGGGAAUGGCAGUGGAUACUGGCUCGCUAGAGUGUGUCAGAGGAUGGUGGAAUUUCCGGUGUAGCAGUGAAAUGCGUAGAGAUCGGGAGGAACAUCAGUGGCGAAGGCGGCCAUCUGGGACAACACUGACGCUGAGGCACGAAAGCGUGGGGAGCAAGCAAGAUUAGAUACCCCUGUAGUCCCUGUCUCUUAUAA
This 301-nucleotide ribosomal RNA is filed under the name uncultured bacterium. RNAcentral's name for it is "partial 16S ribosomal RNA". It matches the Rfam family "Bacterial small subunit ribosomal RNA", at positions 509 to 809 of the family's 1533-position model. The record is from RNAcentral.